ACAGCUCAGUAACACGUAGUCAAUCUACCCUCGAGUCUGGGACAACCUCGGGAAACUGAGGACAAUCCCGGAUAGGCGAUGGACGCUGGAAUGCCUCAUCGCCCAAAGCUCCGGCGCUCGAGGAUGGGACUGCGGCCUAUCAGGCUGUUGGUGGUGUAACGGACCACCAAACCUACGACGGGUAUGGGCAAUGGGAGUUGGAGCCCAGAGAUGGGGACUGAGACAAGGCCCCAGGCCCUACGGGGCGCAGCAGGCGCGAAAACUUCGCAAUGCGCGAAAGCGUGACGAGGGAACCCCAAGUGCCGUUGGUCUUUUGAUCGACGGCUUUUAGGGAGUCUAAGAAGCUUCCUGAAUAAGGGCUGGGUAAGACUGGUGCCAGCCGCCGCGGUAAUACCAGCAGCCCAAGUGGUGGUCGCGUUUAUUGGGCCUAAAGCGCUCGUAGCCGGGCUUGCAAGUCCCUUGUGAAAUCGGACGGCUCAACCGUUCGGCGUGCAAGGGAUACUGCGAGCCUUGGGAUCGGGAGAGGUCGGGGGUACUUCGGGGGUAGCGGUGAAAUGCUGUAAUCCCUGGGGGACCACCAGUGGCGAAGGCGCCCGACCAUAACGGAUCCGACGGUGAGGGGCGAAGGCUAGGGGAGCGAACGGGAUUAGAUACCCCGGUAGUCCUAGCAGUAAAGGAUGCGGGCUGGGUGUCAGGCGCCCUUCGAGAGCGCCUAGUGCCGUAGGGAAGCCGUUAAGCCCGCCGCCUGGGAAGUACGGUCGCAAGGCUGAAACUUAAAGAAAUUGGCGGGGGAGCAC
This 797-nucleotide ribosomal RNA is filed under the name uncultured archaeon. RNAcentral's name for it is "bacterial SSU rRNA". It matches the Rfam family "Archaeal small subunit ribosomal RNA", at positions 85 to 879 of the family's 1478-position model. The record is from RNAcentral.